RNAcentral lists this ribosomal RNA (250 nucleotides) under uncultured prokaryote. RNAcentral describes it as "partial 16S ribosomal RNA". It matches the Rfam family "Bacterial small subunit ribosomal RNA", at positions 524 to 774 of the family's 1533-position model. The record is from RNAcentral.
UACGGAGGAUGCGAGCGUUAUCCGGAUUUAUUGGGUUUAAAGGGUGCGUAGGCGGCUUAGUAAGUCAGCGGUGAAAUUUUGCAGCUUAACUGUAACAGUGCCGUUGAUACUGCCAGGCUAGGAUUUGGUUGCUGUGGGUGGAAUGUGUGGUGUAGGGUGAAAUGCUUAGAUAUCACACAGAAUAUCGAUUGCGAAGGCAGCUCACAAAGCCAAGAUUGACGCUGAGGCACGAAAGUGUGGAGAUCAAACA